Molecule: transfer RNA, 93 nt
Filed under: Gammaproteobacteria bacterium
Lineage: Bacteria; Pseudomonadati; Pseudomonadota; Gammaproteobacteria
Description: tRNA-Sec
Rfam family: tRNA
About the family: Transfer RNA (tRNA) molecules are approximately 80 nucleotides in length. Their secondary structure includes four short double-helical elements and three loops (D, anti-codon, and T loops). Further hydrogen bonds mediate the characteristic L-shaped molecular structure. tRNAs have two regions of fundamental functional importance: the anti-codon, which is responsible for specific mRNA codon recognition, and the 3' end, to which the tRNAs corresponding amino acid is attached (by aminoacyl-tRNA synthetases). tRNAs cope with the degeneracy of the genetic code in two manners: having more than one tRNA (with a specific anti-codon) for a particular amino acid; and 'wobble' base-pairing, i.e. permitting non-standard base-pairing at the 3rd anti-codon position.
Source: RNAcentral
GCGGGUAUAGUGUAAUGGUAGCACGCAGGUUUUCAGUACCUGUUUCUGGGCUCCACCCAGGUAGAGCGGGUUCGAAUCCCGUUACCCGCUCCA